Molecule: long non-coding RNA, 459 nt
Organism: Cydia strobilella
Lineage: Eukaryota; Metazoa; Arthropoda; Insecta; Lepidoptera; Tortricidae
Exons: 3
Source: RefSeq, a predicted model, not a curated record
UAUUAUUCCUACUCGCGGAUGCUGUUAAAGAAAAAGAGCGUCUAAAAAUCUCGUGCAUAGCUUUAUCAAGACACUCUUACAACCCGUCUGAUAUGCCAGACGAAGAAUUUCGGGCAUUUCGCAUAUUUACAGUUAUGUGCCGAACUUAACGCCGAGCCUCAAAAGUCAAAACGGUGAUGGAUUACUAAAACACCUAAAGGUUCUAACAGGUGUAAUAACACCUGCUAGCUGAUGGCAACUAGUCCAUUGGUCAGACUACUGUGAGCCAGUAGCUAUUGAAGCAAUUUGUAAUAGCUGUAAAUAGAAGAAAACUUCUCUUGGAUCAAGGGAGAAAUUAAGGAAGGCGCUCCUCAAGGACUUCCUAAGCAUCAUGCACAAAACCGGCUGUUACUAAGAGUGUGCGCUUGCGAGUUGCUAGCGAGCUUAAUAAAUACAUACUUAUGUCGCCUAUGUUUUACU